GGCUCCGUGAUAGAGGAACUGUUUCCAAUAAGGACACACUGCCGGGACUUAUUCAACGAGAGGCUGAAAGGCGGAAUCCCCUGGCCUUUCCCCAUAAACUGCGCCUGUUCCUCCUGCCAUGACGUCAUCGUUGUCCCGAAAUUUGCCAUGUGGUGCUGCAACCUGAACUACCUGCCCUGAUGACCUCGGGUGGCUGGAGAAGACCCUUCGACGGAAGCCAGAGCGGUCCCUUUGCUUCGCUCAGAAGGGGAAAAGGAGGGGAAACCGGGGUGGUUGAUUUCUCUAUGUUCUCUGUAGUGGGAUGGGGUCAAUCAUGCACAGGGGUGUAUCUGCAAUUGUGCACAUCUUUAGAUCUUGCAAUCAGGGCUUUUUUCAGCUGGAACUUAGUUGGUGCGAUUCUAAGAGAACAAGGGGGGCGUUUGUGGUGAGUUCUGGCACGUAUUUUCUAGAAAAAUAGCAGUGCUUAUUCUCCUUAAGGGCAGUUUUCGGGGGUGAUUUUAAGUGCUAAAGGGUGAGAAGAAAGUUGUUUCAUUAAAGAAUCUUUGGACUGCA
Molecule: long non-coding RNA, 552 nt
Organism: Podarcis raffonei (Aeolian wall lizard)
Lineage: Eukaryota; Metazoa; Chordata; Lepidosauria; Squamata; Lacertidae
Exons: 3
Source: RefSeq, a predicted model, not a curated record